UACGGGGGGGGCAAGCGUUGUUCGGAAUUACUGGGCGUAAAGGGCUCGUAGGUGGCCAACUAAGUCAGACGUGAAAUCCCUCGGCUUAACCGGGGAACUGCGUCUGAUACUGGAUGGCUUGAGGUUGGGAGAGGGAUGCGGAAUUCCAGGUGUAGCGGUGAAAUGCGUAGAUAUCUGGAGGAACACCGGUGGCGAAGGCGACAUCCUGGACCGGUAUUGACGCUGAGUGAGCGAAAGCCAGGGGAGCAAACGGG
Molecule: ribosomal RNA, 254 nt
Filed under: uncultured bacterium
Lineage: Bacteria
Description: partial 16S ribosomal RNA
Rfam family: Bacterial small subunit ribosomal RNA
Source: RNAcentral